GCAAGUCGAACGGUAACGGGACCAGCUUGCUGGUUGCCGACGAGUGGCGGACGGGUGCGUAACGCGUGGAAAUCUACCUAUAAGUUGGGGACAACCUGAGGAAACUCAGGCUAAUACCGAAUAUGGUCUACGGACUAAAGAUUGCCUCUCCUUGGAAGCAGUCGCUUGUAGAUGAGUCCGCGUUGGAUUAGCUAGAUGGUGGGGUAAAGGCCUACCAUGGCGACGAUCAGUAGCCGACCUGAGAGGGUGAUC
RNAcentral lists this ribosomal RNA (252 nucleotides) under uncultured bacterium. RNAcentral describes it as "partial 16S ribosomal RNA". It matches the Rfam family "Bacterial small subunit ribosomal RNA", at positions 57 to 305 of the family's 1533-position model. The record is from RNAcentral.